RNAcentral lists this ribosomal RNA (679 nucleotides) under uncultured Staphylococcus sp. RNAcentral describes it as "bacterial SSU rRNA". It matches the Rfam family "Bacterial small subunit ribosomal RNA", at positions 62 to 723 of the family's 1533-position model. Lineage: Bacteria; Bacillati; Bacillota; Bacilli; Caryophanales; Staphylococcaceae. The record is from RNAcentral.
UCGAGCGAACAGACGAGGAGCUUGCUCCUCUGACGUUAGCGGCGGACGGGUGAGUAACACGUGGAUAACCUACCUAUAAGACUGGGAUAACUUCGGGAAACCGGAGCUAAUACCGGAUAAUAUAUUGAACCGCAUGGUUCAAUAGUGAAAGACGGUUUUGCUGUCACUUAUAGAUGGAUCCGCGCCGCAUUAGCUAGUUGGUAAGGUAACGGCUUACCAAGGCAACGAUGCGUAGCCGACCUGAGAGGGUGAUCGGCCACACUGGAACUGAGACACGGUCCAGACUCCUACGGGAGGCAGCAGUAGGGAAUCUUCCGCAAUGGGCGAAAGCCUGACGGAGCAACGCCGCGUGAGUGAUGAAGGUCUUCGGAUCGUAAAACUCUGUUAUUAGGGAAGAACAAAUGUGUAAGUAACUAUGCACGUCUUGACGGUACCUAAUCAGAAAGCCACGGCUAACUACGUGCCAGCAGCCGCGGUAAUACGUAGGUGGCAAGCGUUAUCCGGAAUUAUUGGGCGUAAAGCGCGCGUAGGCGGUUUUUUAAGUCUGAUGUGAAAGCCCACGGCUCAACCGUGGAGGGUCAUUGGAAACUGGAAAACUUGAGUGCAGAAGAGGAAAGUGGAAUUCCAUGUGUAGCGGUGAAAUGCGCAGAGAUAUGGAGGAACACCAGUGGCGAAGGCG